This 594-nucleotide ribosomal RNA is filed under the name Coenosia semifumosa. RNAcentral's name for it is "partial 12S ribosomal RNA". The stretch from base 1 to 387 matches the Rfam family "Microsporidia small subunit ribosomal RNA", at positions 779 to 1311 of the family's 1311-position model. The record is from RNAcentral. Lineage: Eukaryota; Metazoa; Arthropoda; Insecta; Diptera; Muscidae.
UAAAAAAUUUGGCGGUAUUUUAGUCUAUUCAGAGGAACCUGUUCUGUAAUCGAUAUUCCACGAUGGACCUUACUUAAAUUCGUUAAUCAGUUUAUAUACCGUCGUUAUUAGAAUAUUUUAUAAGAAUGUUAAUUUUCAUAAUUUUUAAAAAGAAAAUAUAUCAGAUCAAGGUGUAGCUUAUAUUUAAGUAGAAAUGGGUUACAAUAAAUUUAUUUAUAUGGAUGUAAAUUUGAAAUAUUUACUGAAGGUGGAUUUGAUAGUAAAAUUGUAUAGAUAAUCAAUUUGAUUUUAGCUCUAAAAUAUGUACACAUCGCCCGUCACUCUUAUUAUUAAGGUAAGAUAAGUCGUAACAUAGUAGAUGUACUGGAAAGUGUAUCUAGAAUGCAAUUUAAAGCUUAAUAGUAAAGUAUUUCAUUUACAUUGAAGAGAUUUUUGUGCAAAUCAAUAUAAAUUGAUUAAUUUUUGUUUAUUAAAUUUAUUUAUUUAUGUAAUUUUUUAUUAAAAAUAAUUAUAAAAUUUUAGGUUUUAGUAUUUUAUAAAGAAAAAAUAAUUUUUAUUAUAGUGAAUUAGUAUUGUGAAAGAAUAUUGAAAUAA